This 386-nucleotide ribosomal RNA is filed under the name uncultured bacterium. Its description in RNAcentral is "bacterial SSU rRNA". It matches the Rfam family "Bacterial small subunit ribosomal RNA", at positions 29 to 422 of the family's 1533-position model. The record is from RNAcentral.
AAUGAACGCUGGCGGCGUGCCUAACACAUGCAAGUCGCGCGCGAUGGGGAGCAAUCCCCGGAGAGCGGCGGACGGGUGAGUAACGCGUGGAUAACCUGCCCUUGAAUGGGGAAUAACCCGGGGAAACUCGGGCUAAUACCGCAUACGACCGAGAGGUGAAAGGGGGCUCGCAAGGGCUCUCGUUCGAGGAGGGGUCCGCGUUCGAUUAGCUAGUUGGUAGGGUAAUGGCCUACCAAGGCGACGAUCGAUAGCCGGCCUGAGAGGGUGAUCGGCCACACUGGAACUGAGACACGGUCCAGACUCCUACGGGAGGCAGCAGUGGGAAUUUUGCGCAAUGGGCGAGAGCCUGACGCAGCAACGCCGCGUGGAGGAUGAAGGUCUUUGGA